This 117-nucleotide ribosomal RNA is filed under the name Danio rerio (zebrafish). Lineage: Eukaryota; Metazoa; Chordata; Actinopteri; Cypriniformes; Danionidae. The record is from RNAcentral.
AAGCACAGCCAUAUCACCCUGCAGCCCAAGGCCGGUUACUCACUGAAGCUAAGCAGGGCUGAGCCUGGUUAGUACCUGGAUGGGAGACCACUAGGGAACACUAGGUUGCUGUUGGAA